CGAUGAGCUUACGGCAGCUUAUGUCAUUUCAACGUCAGUAAAAUUGAACAUCAACUAAAGUUUUUUCGCGUUCGAAACAAGAAAGGACACGAUUGUCUUUUGUUCUUUAAAAAUUGUAAACUCGAACAAUUACCAUGACAUGGGGUAAAUUGGGAUCCUGGGGUAAAUUGGGACAAACCUGCGGAAGAUUCUCAAAGUACCUGUAGCACGGAAUCUACCUAAUUUUGUUUAUGUUAAUAUUUAUCAAUGUAUAGAAGAAAAACCAAGUUAACUAUGGAAGUACUAAAUAUGAGUUAAGUUGGUCCCAAAAAUUCGUCAAAUUAAAUUGAAAAUAGUGGUUGAAAAGUGCGUUUUAAAACAGCUUAAAGAACUUUUAAAAAAAGUAAUAUUAUCGUUGUUUUUUCAAUAAGAUCACAGUUUAUAUAAGUUUUUAAUACACCUGGAAAUACCACAACAAACGAAUCUAUUCACGCGUCGAAUCAUGAUUUUGUUAACAUUCAAAACGCACACACAAAUAAAAACAGGCCUCAGAUUUUAAAUGUAACAUUAAUUAAAAAUCCGAGAUAUCCAAUUAUGAGUGAGUGAAUUAAUUGAGUUUAGUUAUUUAGCUUAGAAAGAAUUUCUUUUAUUUUUGUUAUUAUUGGCAGUAAUCAGAUAAAGCUGUUUUUUUAUCUUAUUCACCUGAUAUCUUACUCUUGCUCAAAGAUUAUUUUGAAAAUGUUGAUUAAAUAAAAUUGUAUUGCAUUUCCAGUCCUUUUGUUUUCUAUUUUUUAUUCUAUUUUAUCAUUUUGUUUCAGAGUUGUGAUUUUUAAGGAAAUUAAAUAAUAAUUUUCUAAAAUAUAA
Long non-coding RNA from Bombyx mori (domestic silkworm), 843 nucleotides. RefSeq lists it as uncharacterized. The record is from RefSeq and is a predicted model, not a curated record. NCBI's taxonomy places the organism in Eukaryota, Metazoa, Arthropoda, Insecta, Lepidoptera, Bombycidae. The transcript is spliced from 2 exons.